RNAcentral lists this ribosomal RNA (253 nucleotides) under uncultured bacterium. RNAcentral describes it as "partial 16S ribosomal RNA". It matches the Rfam family "Bacterial small subunit ribosomal RNA", at positions 524 to 776 of the family's 1533-position model. The record is from RNAcentral.
UACGUAGGGUGCGAGCGUUGUCCGGAAUUACUGGGCGUAAAGAGCUCGUAGGUGGUUUGUCGCGUUGUUCGUGAAAACUCACAACUCAAUUGUGGGCGUGCGGGCGAUACGGGCAGACUGGAGUACUGCAGGGGAGACUGGAAUUCUCGGUGUAGCGGUGAAAUGCGUAGAUAUCGAGAGGAACACCUGCGGCGAAGGCGGGUUGCUGGGCUGACACUGACGCUGAAGCGCGAAAGCUAGGGGAGCGAACGGG